This 253-nucleotide ribosomal RNA is filed under the name uncultured bacterium. RNAcentral describes it as "partial 16S ribosomal RNA". It matches the Rfam family "Bacterial small subunit ribosomal RNA", at positions 524 to 776 of the family's 1533-position model. The record is from RNAcentral.
UACAGGGGGUGCAAACGUUGCUCGGAAUUAUUGGGCGUAAAGCGCGCGUAGGCGGCCACUUAAGUCGGAUGUGAAAGCCCUUGGCUCAACUGAGGAAGUGCACCCGAAACUGAAUGGCUUGAGUACUAAAGAGGGUCGCGGAAUUCCCGGUGUAGAGGUGAAAUUCGUAGAUAUCGGGAGGAACACCGGUGGCGAAGGCGGCGACCUGGGUAGAUACUGACGCUGAGGCGCAAAAGCGUGGGGAGCAAACAGG